AACAACAAAGCUCGAAAGACGGAGCCCGAGACUCGGGGGCUCCUAGCAACGGGCCGGGGCGGGAAUUCCAUGGAGACUGGGGAGCGCGCCCGCCUCAUCAUCAUCCUCUUCCUCCAGCUUAUGCUUCGUUUCCGACACAACCGGCAGCAGCGCUGCCACCGCGUCCUCUGCCAAAGCCCCCUCUUCCCACGGAUGUGAUCUUCGUGGUGGGAAGCUAAGUUUUUAAACUACCCCAAUGGAUGCAGACAGUGAUGUUGCAUUGGACAUUCUAAUUACAAAUGUAGUCUGUGUUUUUAGAACAAGAUGCCAUUUGAACUUAAGGAAGAUUGCUUUGGAGGGAGCAAAUGUAAUUUAUAAGCGUGAUGUUGGAAAAGUAUUAAUGAAGCUUAGAAAACCUAGAAUUACAGCUACAAUUUGGUCCUCAGGAAAAAUUAUUUGCACUGGAGCAACAAGUGAAGAAGAAGCUAAAUUUGGUGCCAGACGUUUAGCACGCAGUCUGCAGAAACUAGGUUUCCAGGUAAUAUUUACGGAUUUUAAGGUUGUUAACGUUUUGGCAGCAUGUAACAUCCAUUUGAAAUCCGUUUGCCAGAAUUCACAAAGAACAAUAGACCUCAUGCCAGUUAUGAACCUGAACUUCAUCCUGCUGUGUGCUAUCGAAUAAAGUCUCUAAGAGCUACAUUAUAGAUUUUUUCAACAGGAAGUAUCACAGUAACAGGGCCCAAUGUAAAGGCCCUUGCAACUGCUGUGGAACAUAUUUACCCAUUUGUGUUUGAAAGCAGGAAAGAAAUUUUAUAAUUCAUUACUUAAUUGGUUAGAAUCUCUAACUGAGCACCUUUUAAAACCUGCACAUUUGGACUCAAAAGGAAAACUGGACCAACAAUAAUUGAGGAAAUAGACUCUUUUACUCAUUCACGGCUACAGUGUAAGCUCCAGUCCCUUUGGAUUUUAUUCCAAACGUUGCUGUAAUAUAAAAAGGAAGUUUACAAGACAUGACAUUGCUGCUUUUACAAAAGGACAUUCUAUUUAUUUUCGCAGUAAUUCUCAUGUCCACAUAAGCAGAGCUGUCACAGUGUGCACUACCUUAGAUUGUUUUAUUGUUGUCAUUGUUAUUUUUUUCCAGUUUGAGCUAAAAUGUUUUAUUUGUGAAUAGUCUUUUACAUUUUUGUAUGCUGAAUAUGGGCACCAAAGAACCUGUAAAAGUUAUCUUUUUCAAUUGAAUGUGCACAAAUAAAUGUUUGGAAAAGAAAAAAA
This is an RNA transcript of Nycticebus coucang (slow loris), 1251 nucleotides long. It is a transcript of the gene named TATA box-binding protein-like 1, with no coding region annotated. The transcript has a single exon. NCBI's taxonomy places the organism in Eukaryota, Metazoa, Chordata, Mammalia, Primates, Lorisidae. The record is from RefSeq and is a predicted model, not a curated record.